Molecule: ribosomal RNA, 445 nt
Filed under: uncultured bacterium
Lineage: Bacteria
Description: partial 16S ribosomal RNA
Rfam family: Bacterial small subunit ribosomal RNA
Source: RNAcentral
GUGAGGAAUAUUGGUCAAUGGGCGAGAGCCUGAACCAGCCAAGUCGCGUGAAGGAAGAAGGAUCUAUGGUUCGUAAACUUCUUUUGCAGGGGAAUAAAGUGCAGGACGUGUCCUGUUUUGUAUGUACCCUGAGAAUAAGGAUCGGCUAACUCCGUGCCAGCAGCCGCGGUAAUACGGAGGAUCCGAGCGUUAUCCGGAUUUAUUGGGUUUAAAGGGUGCGUAGGUGGAUUGAUAAGUCAGCGGUGAAAGUUUGCAGCUUAACUGUAAAAUUGCCGUUGAAACUGUCGAUCUUGAGUGCAAAGGAGGUAGGCGGAAUGUGUUGUGUAGCGGUGAAAUGCAUAGAUAUCACGCAGAACUCCGAUUGCGAAGGCAGCUUACUAAGCUACAACUGACACUGAAGCACGAAAGCGUGGGGAUCAAACAGGAUUAGAUACCCCUGUAGUCC